Molecule: long non-coding RNA, 980 nt
Filed under: Marmota monax (woodchuck)
Lineage: Eukaryota; Metazoa; Chordata; Mammalia; Rodentia; Sciuridae
Source: RNAcentral
UUCCGCGGGCUUCUGCCAGCUGUGCAAUCACCGUACUAAGUGCUGAAUUCUGGGUUUGAGACGGGGGGAGGAAGCGGUCCAAUUCGGUUCUCCACACCGGUCAGACCACAGAGGAAGCCAGCAGCCACCAUCUUGGAGAGCUGACGUCACCAUCCCUGUUUUCGACUGAUCGCAGCUCACUCAGCCAUAGAACAGGUAAUUUCAGGCUGCCAUUUGCCUGCGGCUCGCAGACAAAUUACUCAGGCUCAGUGAUAAUUAACCCGCGGAAACUGCUUCUUGGAGCCUGCUCCUAUCAGAACAUACACCGAGCCCGGAGCGGCCGAAUUCCGGCUCCCAGAACUGCUCUGGCCCAGAGCUAAAGAACCCGUGGAAACUGCUUCUCGGUCUGGGUCCUGCUGAAUACUGUGGAGGUAAAUACCAACAGAGCCUUCAUAGGCAGUGGCAACAGGACUGAGACGGGGCUUGUGAGGGCCGGUCAGGACUCACCCGUUGCUUUGGUCACCCGGCAAAGGGAACGAAAUGCUGCCAUUCGCAUGGGAUACCAACAUGGCAGAGAUCUGAUGUCAUCAGAAAGCUGCAGAGGAGAGAACUUCAUCGAUACCAGCGGCGACAGAAACAGUUGGUCUCCUGGUAAAGAAAGUGAGUCACAAACACCCCAGUCGCUCUCACUUUGUCAUCAAGCCAGAGGGGCAGAGCAGAGCCGCCGCCUGCGCCUGGAACAGGCCCAGCGGCCCGCUGGCAUGACCCCAAUUGGAGUAGGGGCAGAGCAGAGCCGCCACCCGCGCCCGCAAGGUAGGCAGACCUGCGACCGACCGGAAGAACAGGCCCAGUGGUCUGCGGGCGUGGUAGGAGGGGCAGGGCAGAGCCGCCGCCCGCGCCUGCAAGGUAGGCAGACCUGCGACAGACCGGCGGAUCAGGCCCAGCGGCCUGCCAGCGUGGUACACACGUCACCCCAACUGGAGUAGGGGCAGAGCAGAGCC